ACGAACGCUGGCGGCGUGCUUAACACAUGCAAGUCGAGCGGAAAGGCCACUUCGGUGGUACUCGAGCGGCGAACGGGUGAGUAACACGUGAGUAAUCUGCCCUUCACUUCGGGAUAGCCCUGGGAAACUGGGAUUAAUACCGGAUACGACCGGCGCCUGCAUGGGUUGUUGGUGGAAAGUUUUUUCGGUGGAGGAUGUGCUCGCGGCCUAUCAGCUUGUUGGUGGGGUAAUGGCCUACCAAGGCUUCGACGGGUAGCCGGCCUGAGAGGGUGACCGGCCACACUGGGACUGAGACACGGCCCAGACUCCUACGGGAGGCAGCAGUGGGGAAUAUUGGACAAUGGGCGGAAGCCUGAUCCAGCAACGCCGCGUGAGGGAUGACGGCCUUCGGGUUGUAAACCUCUUUCAGCGGGGACGAAGCGCAAGUGACGGUACCCGCAGAAGAAGCACCGGCCAACUACGU
This 463-nucleotide ribosomal RNA is filed under the name uncultured bacterium. RNAcentral describes it as "bacterial SSU rRNA". It matches the Rfam family "Bacterial small subunit ribosomal RNA", at positions 29 to 506 of the family's 1533-position model. The record is from RNAcentral.